AGUGAACGCUGGCGGUAGGCCUAACACAUGCAAGUCGAACGGCAGCACAGUAAGAGCUUGCUCUUACGGGUGGCGAGUGGCGGACGGGUGAGGAAUACAUCGGAAUCUACUUUUUCGUGGGGGAUAACGUAGGGAAACUUACGCUAAUACCGCAUACGACCUACGGGUGAAAGCAGGGGAUCUUCGGACCUUGCGCGAUUGAAUGAGCCGAUGUCGGAUUAGCUAGUUGGCGGGGUAAAGGCCCACCAAGGCGACGAUCCGUAGCUGGUCUGAGAGGAUGAUCAGCCACACUAGAACUGAGACACGGUCCAGACUCCUACGGGAAGCAGCAGUGGGGAAAAUUGGACAAUGGGCGCAAGCCUGAUCCAGCCAUACCGCGUGGGUGAAGAAGGCCUGCGGGUUGUAAAGCCCUUUUGUUGGGAAAAAAAAGCAGCAGGUGAAUACCCCGCUGUUCUGACGGUACCCAAAGAAUAAGCACCGGCUAACUUCGUG
Molecule: ribosomal RNA, 492 nt
Filed under: uncultured bacterium
Lineage: Bacteria
Description: partial 16S ribosomal RNA
Rfam family: Bacterial small subunit ribosomal RNA
Source: RNAcentral